CUGCAUGUUUUGGCCCUGGGCCACUGUUGGCCUCUCUGUCUGUAGAGUGGACAAGUACAAACAUGCUAGAUUAAAAAACAUUGAAGUUAACAGGGCCACCAGUCUCUCAAGGUCAGACUGAGUCGGUAGUAUAAUACUUCAACAUUA
Molecule: small nucleolar RNA, 147 nt
Filed under: Anabas testudineus (climbing perch)
Lineage: Eukaryota; Metazoa; Chordata; Actinopteri; Anabantiformes; Anabantidae
Description: Small nucleolar RNA U109 (ENSATEG00000020627.2)
Rfam family: Small nucleolar RNA U109
Source: Rfam by way of RNAcentral